GCAGAAUCAGGAUAUAAGACACUUAGCCCUGACCAUGUGAGUCACCAAAGGAGUUAGAGGUCUGGACCUUUCUCCGGGGCCAGAAAACUGCUGAGCAGAGAGUAGAAACACCAGGAAUCCUUCAAUGGCAGCUGUCAUCAUGUGUGGAUAUGUCUUGGGUCUGGUUGGUGCUCCAGCUUGCCAGUCCAUGCCUCCCAUGAGCUGAGGAGAUGAGGAGAAAGCUCUGGGUGGCUGAUGGAUGCAAACUGAAAGAAGAUUGGGCUCACCUUUAUCUGUUUCCAUGUUCACAGAAGAGAGUUUCUUGCCUGUGUGAGGCUGGGAGACUAUUUACUGGAGCAAAGACCUGCAGUCAGAGAAGACAGAGGAUGUUUUAGUUAUGCUUCCUGUUGUUUUGAAAAAAUAAAAAUACCCUGAAGAAAGCAACUCUGGGGGCUGGAGAGAUGGCUCAGUGGUUAUGAGAGCAUUCUGGCCUUGCAGAGGAUCCAAGGUUGGUUCCCAGCACCCACAAUGGGCAGCUCCCAACUGCCUGUAACUGUUUACCCAGGGAAUCU
This 551-nucleotide long non-coding RNA is filed under the name Cricetulus griseus (Chinese hamster). RNAcentral describes it as "lncRNA (ENSCGRG00000024524.1)". The record is from RNAcentral. Lineage: Eukaryota; Metazoa; Chordata; Mammalia; Rodentia; Cricetidae.